This 922-nucleotide ribosomal RNA is filed under the name uncultured prokaryote. RNAcentral describes it as "bacterial SSU rRNA". It matches the Rfam family "Bacterial small subunit ribosomal RNA", at positions 34 to 941 of the family's 1533-position model. The record is from RNAcentral.
CGCAGUGGCAGCUAUAAUGCAGUCGAGCGAACGGCGAAGAAGCUUGCUUCUUCAAUGUUAGCGGCGGACGGGUGAGUAACACGUGGGCAAUCUGCCCGUAAGACUGGGAUAACUCCGGGAAACCGGGGCUAAUACCGGAUAACACUUUUCAUCUCCUGGUGAAAAGUUGAAAGAUGGUUUCGGCUAUCACUUACGGAUGAGCCCGCGGCGCAUUAGCUAGUUGGUGAGGUAACGGCUCACCAAGGCGACGAUGCGUAGCCGACCUGAGAGGGUGAUCGGCCACACUGGGACUGAGACACGGCCCAGACUCCUACGGGAGGCAGCAGUAGGGAAUCUUCCGCAAUGGACGAAAGUCUGACGGAGCAACGCCGCGUGAGUGAAGAAGGUUUUCGGAUCGUAAAACUCUGUUGUUAGGGAAGAACACGUACGAGAGUAACUGCUCGUACCUUGACGGUACCUAACCAGAAAGCCACGGCUAACUACGUGCCAGCAGCCGCGGUAAUACGUAGGUGGCAAGCGUUGUCCGGAAUUAUUGGGCGUAAAGCGCGCGCAGGCGGUUCCUUAAGUCUGAUGUGAAAGCCCCCGGCUCAACCGGGGAGGGUCAUUGGAAACUGGGGAACUUGAGUGCAGGAGAGGAAAGCGGAAUUCCACGUGUAGCGGUGAAAUGCGUAGAUAUGUGGAGGAACACCAGUGGCGAAGGCGGCUUUCUGGUCUGUAACUGACGCUGAGGCGCGAAAGCGUGGGGGAGCAAACAGGAUUAGAUACCCUGGUAGUCCACGCCGUAAACGAUGAGUGCUAAGUGUUGGAGGGUUUCCGCCCUUCAGUGCUGCAGCUAACGCAUUAAGCACUCCGCCUGGGGAGUACGGUCGCAAGACUGAAACUCAAAGGAAUUGACGGGGGCCCGCACAAGCGGUGGAGCAUG